Molecule: ribosomal RNA, 892 nt
Filed under: Polypedates leucomystax (Java whipping frog)
Lineage: Eukaryota; Metazoa; Chordata; Amphibia; Anura; Rhacophoridae
Description: partial 16S ribosomal RNA
Rfam family: Bacterial large subunit ribosomal RNA
Source: RNAcentral
AGCAGCCACCUUUUAAAACGCGUCAAAGCGUAACCUAAACCCCCCAAAAUACCAUUAAUUUUCAUGAACCCCUAAUUUAUAAUGAAUGACUCCAUAUUUAUAUGGAAGACACCAUGCUAGGAUUAGUAACAAGAAUUUAUAAUUCUCCAAAAUGCAAAUAUAAACCAACAUGGAUAGACCAUUGGUAGUUACCGAACCUAAAUUUACUGCAAUAACACCCACAAGAAAACUCUGCAGUACUUACUCGUUAACCUAACACCAGCGCAUUACAGGAAAGAUUAAAAAAAAGAGAAGGAAUUCGGCAAAUGACGGCCCCGCCUGUUUACCAAAAACAUCGCCUCUUGACUUAUAAUAAGAGGUCCAGCCUGCCCAGUGAAUUUUAAACGGCCGCGGUAUCCUAACCGCGCGAAGGUAGCAUAAUCACUUGUUCUUUAAAUGGGGACUCGUAUCAACGGCAUCACGAGGGUUUUACUGUCUCCUCUUUUUGAUCAGUGAAAUUGAUCUUCCCGUGAAGAAGCGGGGAUAUUUUUAUAAGACGAGAAGACCCCAUGGAGCUUUAAACCAAAUAACAACUUAACUACUUAUCCCACAAUAAAUUUAAGCCCUGUUAUAAGGUUUUUGGUUGGGGUGACCGCGGAGUAAAGCACAUCCUCCACGACGGAAAGAACAUAAUCUUUAUUUAAGAACCACACUUCUAGAAAUUAGUAUACUAACGUUUACUGACCCGACAAUCGAUCAACGGACCAAGUUACCCUGGGGAUAACAGCGCAAUCUACUUCAAGAGCUCAUAUCGACAAGUAGGCUUACGACCUCGAUGUUGGAUCAGGGUAUCCCGGUGGUGCAGCCGCUACCGAAGGUUCGUUUGUUCAACGAUUAAAACCCUACGUGAUCU